CUCCUGCAUUCAAGUGAUUCUCAUGCCUCAGCCUCCCAAGCAGGUUAAUUCCCAUCAGAUAACAUCCACCACAGAAAAGGUACCAACCAAGCAGAUGGAAUGACUUAGCCAAAUAAUGUUAACCAGGCUUUGUUGCUGGCACCCCAAUGCUGGCAAAGUGAUCAAUGAACGGAGGAGCCAUGGUGGAGCAAAUGCAAGGGUUCAACGUCAUGGACUCAUCAAGUCUGAUCUAACUACUGCAUCAGUGAAUGUCCAGCUUGCCAGCAACAGAGACCAACACUUAGCCUGAUGUCACCAUUCCUCAAGGAAACCGUCUAGCCACUUGGUGGUGUUGAUGCAGAUAACUCCUCCCAAUAAACUUCCUGCAUGUGAAUCUCCAACACAGAGUGUUUUUGCCAAGAACUCAACCUAUGGCAGCAGCAAACCUCUGUGACUCAAGGAAAUCUCAGUUGGAUGUCCUGUCUCAUCUACUCAAGACCAGUAAGCAACACUUACUU
RNAcentral lists this long non-coding RNA (497 nucleotides) under Homo sapiens (human). RNAcentral's name for it is "HSALNT0295737". The record is from RNAcentral. Lineage: Eukaryota; Metazoa; Chordata; Mammalia; Primates; Hominidae.